This is a long non-coding RNA of Mustela erminea (ermine), 801 nucleotides long. RefSeq lists it as uncharacterized. Lineage: Eukaryota; Metazoa; Chordata; Mammalia; Carnivora; Mustelidae. The record is from RefSeq and is a predicted model, not a curated record. The transcript is spliced from 3 exons.
GCUGAGAAAGACCCUGCGGGCUUCUAGAACCUCACCUUUGAUAACUUGGUGGGGGCAUCCCAUUGUGCCUGAAGCCUCUCAUGCUUGCUAUUCCUACCAGCUAAGGAAUUUUAACACUUUCUGAUAUCUGGGUUCUAUAUAAUGUUUAAUUUCUUCAAAGGCUUCUGUGGUUGUCGUCUCUAGGAUUCACAACAAUCUAGCUGUCGUGGGCAGGACAAGAGGGAUUAUUCCUAUUUUGCAGAUGAGAAAACAGUUCCUAGGAGAGCACCUUUCCUGCCUGAGGUCACUUAGCUGGCACAACCUGACUUGAGGACCCCACACACCAGGAUCCCAACAGAGAAAUAUGUCAAAGAAAAUGCCAUGGUUUCUGGUUCCUUGCUGAUGAACCAAGUUUCAUGCACUUGGGCGAGGUCCUGCUCCUGAAUAAUCUCUACACACAGGAAAGGAUGAGGCCAGCUGGAUCCAGAGAACAGAUCUGCAUGAAGCUCUUCUUCUCAAAAAGGUGGAGGAGGAAGGAGAGGGGACCGGUGGAUCUCGGCAAGAGGGCGGCAGAAACUGUGACCUUUGGCAACAGAGCACUGAGAACAGUUACAUCAUGAAAAGCACUCCUCCUUACCCUUCUCUUUAAGGAAAAAAAGAAGUGGGAUUCUGCUAAUGCAGAGGAGAAAAUUAGAGCCUUAAAUACAUAUAUUAUAAAAGGAAAGGCCAAAAGUCAAUGGCUAAAUAUCUGUCUUAAAAGUUGGCAAAAGAGCAGCAAAUUAAAUCCAAAGAAAGUAAGAAGGAAGGAAAUAAUAAAGAUAA